RNAcentral lists this ribosomal RNA (468 nucleotides) under uncultured bacterium. Its description in RNAcentral is "partial 16S ribosomal RNA". It matches the Rfam family "Bacterial small subunit ribosomal RNA", at positions 28 to 507 of the family's 1533-position model. The record is from RNAcentral.
GACGAACGCUGGCGGCGUGCUUAACACAUGCAAGUCGAACGGAAAGGCCCUGCUUUUGUGGGGUGCUCGAGUGGCGAACGGGUGAGUAACACGUGAGUAACCUGCCCUUGACUUUGGGAUAACUUCAGGAAACUGGGGCUAAUACCGGAUAGGAGCUCCUGCUGCAUGGUGGGGGUUGGAAGGUUUCGGCGGUUGAGGAUGGACUCGCGGCUUAUCAGCUUGUUGGUGGGGUAGUGGCUUACCAAGGCUUUGACGGGUAGCCGGCCUGAGAGGGUGACCGGCCACAUUGGGACUGAGAUACGGCCCAGACUCCUACGGGAGGCAGCAGUGGGGAAUAUUGCACAAUGGGCGGAAGCCUGAUGCAGCAACGCCGCGUGCGGGAUGACGGCCUUCGGGUUGUAAACCGCUUUCGCCUGUGACGAAGCGUGAGUGACGGUAAUGGGUAAAGAAGCACCGGCUAACUACGUG